Molecule: RNA transcript, 1794 nt
Organism: Sciurus carolinensis (gray squirrel)
Lineage: Eukaryota; Metazoa; Chordata; Mammalia; Rodentia; Sciuridae
Gene name: aldehyde dehydrogenase family 3 member B2-like
Exons: 10
Source: RefSeq, a predicted model, not a curated record
CGAGGAGCGGCGGAGGCAGAGGCCGGGUGAGACCAUAGGAGCCGAGUCGGGCAUCUGGGGACAGCAUGUCGGCCAAGGAUCCAGGCUCAGCGUCCUGGCUGGGGAUGGACCCCUUUGAGGACACGCUGCGGCAACUGCGGGAGGCCUUCGCCUCGGGGCGGACGCGGCCGGUGGAGUUCCGGGUGGCGCAGCUGGAGGGCCUGAGCCGCUUCCUGAGGGACAACAGGCAGCUGCUGCUGGACACGCUGGCCCAGGACCUGCACAAGUCGGCCUUCGAGGCAGACAUGGCGGAGUUCAUCCUGUGCCAGAACGAGGUGGACCUGGCCCUCAGGAGCCUGCACACCUGGAUGAAGGACGAGCCGGUGGCCACAAACUUGCUCACGAAGCUGGACUCGGCCUUCAUCCGCAAGGAGCCCUUCGGCCUGGCGCUCAUCAUCGCCCCCUGGAACUACCCCCUGAACCUCACGCUCGUGCCCCUGGUGGGGGCCAUCGCGGCAGGGAACUGCGUGAUCCUGAAGCCAUCGGAAAUAAGCAAGGGCACAGAGAAAGUGCUGGCCGAGGUGCUGCCCCAGUACCUGGAUCAGAGCUGCUUCGCCGUGGUGCUGGGCGGGCCCGAGGAGACCAGGCAGCUGCUGGAGCACAGGUUCGACUACAUCCUGUUCACGGGGAGCCCCGGCGUGGGCAAGAUUGUCAUGGCCGCCGCUGCCAAGCACCUGACGCCGGUCACCCUGGAGCUGGGGGGCAAGAACCCCUGCUACGUGGACGACGACUGUGACCCCCAGACCGUGGCCAACCGGGUCGCCUGGUUCCGGUACUUCAACGCCGGCCAGACCUGCGUGGCCCCGGAUUACGUGCUGUGCAGCCCCGAGACGCGGGAGCGCCUGCUGCCCGCCCUGCAGAACGCCAUCGCCCGUUUCUAUGGCGACGACCCCCAGCGCUCCCCCAACCUGGGCCGCAUCAUCAACCAGAAGCAUUUCAAGCGGCUGCAGGGACUGCUGGGCUGUGGCCGCGUGGCCAUCGGCGGCCAGAGCGACGAGAGCGAGCGCUACAUCGCGCCCACUGUGCUGGUGGACGUGCAGGAGACGGAGCCAGUGAUGCAGGAGGAGAUCUUCGGGCCCAUCCUGCCCCUGGUGAGCGUGAGGAGCCUGGAUGACGCCAUCGACUUCAUCAACCGUCGGGAGAAGCCCCUGGCCCUCUACGCCUUCUCCAACAGCACCCAGACGAACCCAGGCUGAAAAGGACGGCCCUUCACUAAGUCAGCCAGGCCACCCUCGGGUUUCCAGACACGGGAACCGCAGCGUCGGGUCCUCUGUCCCCGUGCUCCCUCCACACGGCCCCUCCCUGAGACUGAGCAGGCGCACCACACCCUCCCGGGAUGCCUCCCUGACUACGCGGCACUCCACUGCCAUGACACUGUGCACGUCCCCGGUGACACGCCUCCUGCCUCCCCCUUGGGCUGGAGAGUGUCCCAGCACACUGCCCAGGCCGCACGCACUCGGGACACACACAGCGGUCUGAGGGCUGCGAGCAGCACAGGCCCCGCCUGUCCCGCCGUGCCCACCCGCAGCAGAGGUGGCGGCUCAGACCCUUUGGGACAAGGCCGGAGCAGCCAGUUCCGCCUCGCACGCCUCUGCUCCCUCCCAGGUGGUCCAACGGGUGCUGGCCCAGACCAGCAGCGGGGGCUUCUGCGGGAAUGACGGCUUCAUGCACAUGACCCUGGCCAGCCUGCCCUUCGGAGGAGUGGGCAACAGCGGGAUGGGCAGGUACCACGGGAAGUUCUCCUUCGACACCUUC